CCCCUGCAUAGUGCGUGUAGACAGAAUUUUUAGAACCAACACCUAUUAAGAGGGGCCGAUCUCUAAAAUAUGGCGUGCAAGCUUACAUUUUAUAGUAAGAAGCCCAGGAGUAUUUAGGUAGGCACCCACCUGUUGCAGAACAGGUCCUUAAAAAUUCAAGACAUCUUGCGGCUAAGGCGGGGAAU
RNAcentral lists this non-coding RNA (185 nucleotides) under human gut metagenome. RNAcentral's name for it is "6S / SsrS RNA". It matches the Rfam family "6S / SsrS RNA". From Rfam's summary of the family: E. coli 6S RNA was the first non coding RNA to be sequenced, but its function was unknown until recently. The record is from RNAcentral.